UACAGAGGGUGCAAGCGUUAAUCGGAGUUACUGGGCGUAAAGCGUGCGUAGUCGGUUGUCUAAGUCGGAUGUGAAAUCCCCGGGCUCAACCUGGGAAUUGCAUUCGAUACUGGACAGCUAGAGUUCGGCAGAGGGAAGUGGAAUUUCUGGUGUAGCGGUGAAAUGCGUAGAUAUCAGAAGGAACAUCAGUGGCGAAAGCGACUUCCUGGACCAGAACUGACGAUCAGGCACGAAAGCGUGGGGAGCAAACAGG
RNAcentral lists this ribosomal RNA (253 nucleotides) under uncultured bacterium. RNAcentral describes it as "partial 16S ribosomal RNA". It matches the Rfam family "Bacterial small subunit ribosomal RNA", at positions 524 to 776 of the family's 1533-position model. The record is from RNAcentral.